RNAcentral lists this ribosomal RNA (483 nucleotides) under uncultured bacterium. RNAcentral's name for it is "partial 16S ribosomal RNA". It matches the Rfam family "Bacterial small subunit ribosomal RNA", at positions 30 to 507 of the family's 1533-position model. The record is from RNAcentral.
AUUGAACGCUGGCGGCAGGCCUAACACAUGCAAGUCGAGCGGAUGAAGGGAGCUUGCUCCUGGAUUCAGCGGCGGACGGGUGAGUAAUGCCUAGGAAUCUGCCUGGUAGUGGGGGAUAACGUCCGGAAACGGGCGCUAAUACCGCAUACGUCCAGAGGGAGCAAGUGGGGGAUCUUCGGACCUCACGCUAUCAGAUGAGCCUAGGUCGGAUUAGCUAGUUGGUGGGGCAAAGGCCUACCAAGGCGACGAUCCUAACUGGUCUGAGAGGAUGAUCAGUCACACUGGAACUGAGACACGGUCCAGACUCCUACGGGAGGCAGCAGUGGGGAAUAUUGGACAAUGGGCGAAAGCCUGAUCCAGCCAUGCCGCGUGUGUGAAGAAGGUCUUCGGAUUGUAAAGCACUUUAAGUUGGGAGGAAGGGCAGUAAGUUAAUACCUUGCUGUUUUGACGUUACCAACAGAAUAAGCACCGGCUAACUUCGUG